Molecule: ribosomal RNA, 253 nt
Filed under: uncultured Parabacteroides sp.
Lineage: Bacteria; Pseudomonadati; Bacteroidota; Bacteroidia; Bacteroidales; Tannerellaceae
Description: partial 16S ribosomal RNA
Rfam family: Bacterial small subunit ribosomal RNA
Source: RNAcentral
UACGGAGGAUCCGAGCGUUAUCCGGAUUUAUUGGGUUUAAAGGGUGCGUAGGCGGCCUUUUAAGUCAGCGGUGAAAGUCUGUGGCUCAACCAUAGAAUUGCCGUUGAAACUGGGGGGCUUGAGUAUGUUUGAGGCAGGCGGAAUGCGUGGUGUAGCGGUGAAAUGCAUAGAUAUCGCGCAGAACCCCGAUUGCGAAGGCAGCGUGCCGUGCCGCCACUGACGCUGAGGCACGAAAGCGCGGGGAUCGAACAGG